ACAAAAAAAGUUAUUUUUCUGUGAAAGUUUAUGCAAGCACAUAGAACAUGAACACAUACCCAUGCCAUCUUUUCGGAUAUUUUUACCAUUUAGAAAUGUAUUUUUCAAAGUGGGUUCAUAUGUAUCCGGAUUCAUCCAUGCUCUUCCCCACGAAGCUAGACCAAUUGUCAGCUCUAUUGAGCUGGGUUCAUUUGUUACAAAUGAAUAGUAUUGUUUACAGAUUUAGUGAAGAGAUUGUUCAAUUCAUUGUACUCAACUAACCUUAGUGCAUAUAAGGCACCUCCGUCCCCAUUAGAGCAGAGAAUAAUAUCUUGAGUAAAAUUUGUUUCAAACCUUUAACUUGAGGUGCUAGUCUAAAUUGAACCUCAUCUCCUAACACCUAAAAAUCAGCACCCUACGAAUGGAAUUCAAAGAGAUAAUUACACCUACGGUCCUCGUAUUCUUCGGCAUGUAACACAACGGUCUCGGGACUCGCGGAAUGCUCCACUACGGUCCUCAAAUACGAGGAUUCGCUCCAAUACGGUCCUGGCUACGUCUCACUCUAUGCCUCGCGCCCAGCCAGGUGCCACGUCAGUGUACAGUAGAUGCAUGGGCCCCCAUGUCAGCAUAGGAGAGAGAAAAAAAGGGAAAACAAAAUGCUACGCCGAGGAUCGAACUCGAGACCCCUGCGUAAGAGAGCAACCGAUCUAGCCACCACGCCGACAUGUCAAUGACGUACAACUGGCAGCAAAAACAAAUUGGAGCAACUAUACAUAUCGCUCGCUUAUAACAGGGCCGGCCCAGUAGCGUAUCUCUAUUUCUUUUUUCUCGAAUCUUCAAGCGAUUUUCCUGUGCAUUUCUUACCGGUUUUCUUUUUAAUUUUCCCCAGGUUUAUGUUUAUUUUCCCCAUAUAAAAAUAAAAUAAUUAUAAAUAUACAAUUAUUUUCUAUUUUAAAUCUUUAUUCUAUUUUCAUUAUUGUGUGCCUUGAAGACAUAAACAUUAGCUUUUUCUAAAAUUUAUAUGGAUUUAAAUAAAAUAAAUUAUAAGAAAAUUUAUGUAUCUUCAUUCAUGACCACAAACACGCAUUAUUUUGUAUCCUCAUUGUAUUAACAUACAUAAUAAUUUUAAAAAUUAACAAAGUAUAUUUUGAAUAAUGUUCAGCAUGGUUUUGGAAAAUGGUUAUCAUUUUGCCCUAUUAUAUGCCCAAUGACCGGUUUUAUUUUUAUCUCUUCCAGUUUAAAAAAAGAAAUGUAAGAAGAAAUUACAAUAAUUACUAAUAAACAAUUAUUGUGUAUUUUAAUAUUCAUUGUGUUUUCCUUAUUGAGUAACUUGAAGAGGUAAACAUGUUUUUUUUAAUUUACUUUAAUAUAAAAACCGGUAGUCGGGCAUAUAAUUGGGCAAAAAUAUAACCAUUUUGUGACACCAUGCUGAAUAUAAUUCAAAAAUACACGUUGCCAAUUUUUCAAAUAUUUGUGUAUUUUAAAUAUACAAUGAAGAUACACAAUAAUUGCGCGUGUUUGUGGUCCUGAAUGAACAUACAUAAAUUUUUAUGACAUUUUUUUAAAUCCACAUAAAUUUUGGAAAAAGUUCAUGUUUACGUCUUCAAGGUACAAAUUAAUGAAAAUAUAAUAAAUAUUUAAAAUACACAAUAAAUGUAUUCUUUUAUAUGGAAAAAAUGAAGUUUAAAAAUAGAAAGAUAAAAUAAACACGAACUUGGUAAAAAAAAGGAUAGAAUAUGCAUCAGGAAAAUCACUUGAAGAUUAAAAAAAGGGGGUACGGUAUGCUACUAGGCCGGACCAAUUAUAUGAAAAUAAAUUAAAGAUUUAAAAUACACAGAAAUUGUAUAUUAAUAAUGAUUAUAUUUUUAUAUGGGAAAAUUAAACAUAAGCAUGGGUAAAAAUAAAAAUGAAACCGGUAGGCAACGUACAGGAAAAUCGCUGGAAGAUUCGAAAAAAGUAGAAGAGAUACGCUACGCUACUGGGCCGGGUCAGUAUGUGCGCAAGCGAAAGCUAGCGAUAUAUGGAACUGCUCUAUAUAGCUUCCUAGCUGAUACGUGAACAGACCCUCAAAAAAAAAAACUGAUACGUGAACACGAUGGAUAGGUUGGCCUUGUGGCCAGCUCGUCUGUUCGCUUUUCUGGAGGUCUCAUGUUCGAUCCUCCGCCUAGCAUUCUGUGCAUCUGGCUGGGCGCGAGGCGUAGAGUGAGACAUAGCCAGAAUCAUAUUGGAGCGUAUCCUCGUAUUUGAGGACUGUAGUGGAGCAUUCCGCGAGUUUCAGGGUCAUUGUGUUACAUGCCGGAGAGUAUGAGGACUGUAGGUGUAAUUAUCUCGAAUUCAAACGAUAGUUCAAUAACUUUGUCAGAGUUCUCCUCAUGCAAGUUGUAAAGAUUUGAUGGAAAACUUGUGUUCUAUUGAUUCUGGGCAAAGCCCUAUUUAUACAAGGAUUUGGGGCGCCUCCGGAGAGGCGUCCGUUUACAAGCGCCCGUGGCGCGAGAAGACGCAUGUACGGACGUUCGCGUCCGUACGGUGUUUUGGACACACGUGAUGACUCUUAGUGCUAAUGACGUCGCUUUAUUCUUAACACUUCCCCUUGUACAAAGCUGCUUCUUCUAUGUCUUGUAUCCUUGUAUAACUUUGAGAAUAUUGCUCUUAAUCACAAGCGUAUAUGAUCUUGAAUAACUCCUCCAAAAACCCUGUGGGAAAAAUAUGAGAAGAAUAGAACUUGAUAUGUUGUUAAAACUCCAUUAAAACCCAGUAGGAAAAAUAAGAAGAAAAUGUUACAACAUAUGUUAUCGUCUCUUUGAUAACUUAUAUGAGAAAACCUUGAGGAUAAAACUCAUUGGUAUGUUUAGAGGACAAUUAAUAUGUCUUGUAUACACUCAUUAAAAACCCCGGUGGAGAAAAAUAGGAUGUAUGACAUAUAUUCUUAUGUUGAUAUUACCUCAUUAAAAACCUUGAUGAGAACCAUGAGAGUAAACUCAUAAAGGGAAAAAGAGUGCAAUAUAAUGUUUGAACAGGUUAUGAUUCAGAGAAGCUCUCCCCCUAAUCUCUGCAAAUCUCGAAGUCGUCACAUACCAAUCCCAUGAACAUAUUUUUCAAAUGUUGAAGCUGAGAGCGACUUUGUGAAUAGAUCAGUUAGAUUAUCGCAUGAUUUGACUUGCAAAAUGUUUAUCUUCCCUUUCUUUUGUAAUUGAUGGGGAAAAAAUAAUUUAGGAGAAAUAUGCUUAGUGAUAUUGCUCUUUAUGUAACCUGUUUGUAUUUGAGCAACACAAGCUGCAUUAUCUUCGUAGAUAAUGGUUGGACAUUCGAUAGAACCUUUACCACAUGAUUUUUGUAUGUGGUUUAUCAUUCUGCGAAGCCAUACACAUUCAUGUGUUGCCUCAAAUAAAGAGAUUAUUUCAGAAUGAUUGGUGGAUGUAGCCACUAGAGUAUGUUUGGAAGACUUCCAUGAUAUGGCUGUCCCACCAUGUAGGAACACAAAACCAGUUUGUGAUCUGGCAUUGUGGGGGUCAGAUAAGUAGCCAGCAUCAACAUACCCAAUCAUAUCAAUGUCCAAAUUUCUCUGAAAUUGAAAGAAUAGGCCAAGAUCCUUUGUGCCUUGGAGAUAUCGAAAGAUAUUCUUAACUCCCGUCCAAUGGCGUUUAGUAGGAGCUGCGCUCUGUCUAGCUAGUAAAUUCACUGCAAAUGCAAUAUCAGGCCUGGUGCAAUUUGCAAGAUACAUGAGUGCUCCAAUGGCACUGAGAUAUGGAACUUCAGGUCCUAAUAUCUCUUCUCCAUUAUCCAUUGGUCUAAAUUGAUCUUUCUCUACGUCUAGAGAUCGAACUACCAUAGGAGUUUUGGAUGGAUAGGAUUCGUCCAUAUUGAAUUUCUCCAAUAUUUUCUGGAUAUAUGCGGUUUGAUGAACCAAAAUACCCGAGGGAAGGUGCUCAAGUUGUAAUCCUAAGCAAAAUUUGGUUUUACCCAAAUCCUUCAUCUCAAAUUCCGUCUUUAGGUGAUUGCGUGCUUCAUCAAUAUCUUGUGUGGUUCCAAUGAUGUUCAGAUCAUCAACAUACAUAGAAAUAAUGCAAAAUCCAGUUGUGGACUUUUUUAUGAAAACACAUGGGCAAUCAUCAUUAUUGUAGUAUCCUUUUUUCAAAAGGAACUCACUAAGUCGGUUGUACCACAUGCGACCCGACUGUUUUAAGCCGUAUAAAGACUUAUUUAGUUUUACACAAUAUGCGUUGUGUUUUGCGUUUGGAUUCGGGAUUGGGACUCCAUCAGGAACCUUCAUGUAUAUGUCUGAAUCAAGUGAACCGUAAAGGUAAGCGGUUACUACGUCCAUCAACUGCAUAGAUAGACAAUUUUGCACUGCCAAAGAUAUAAGAUAUCGGAAAGUGGUUGCAUUCAUUACUGGAGAAUAUGUUUUAGUGAAAUCAAUGUCGGGUUUCUGCGUGAAACCUUGUGCUACGAGCCUUGCUUUGUAUCUCACCACCUCGUUGUUCUCGUUUCUUUUAUGAACAAAAACCCAUUUGAAUCCCAUGGGGAAAACUCUGGGAGGUGUAGGUAUUGCUUUAGUGAAUACCUUUUGUUUAUUGAGCGAGGCUAAUUCUGCUUGGAUUGCAUCCUUCCAUUUAGGCCAGUCGGAGCAUUUCUUGCACUUUGACAUGGUCUUUGGAUCAUGAUCAGUGAGAAGGGUAUCUGCAAUCUUUUCAGCAAAAUAUAUGUCGACAGUCGUAGUCUUACGGUCAAAUGAUUCUCCAGAAUCAACGUAGUUGAUAGAAAUUUCCUGCACCCUUAGUGACUCUUCGUGAUUUCCCAAUACGAUUGAGUCUGGGUGUUCCGAUGUCCUAGUUAGUUUGUGCACAACUGAGCUGGGUUGUGGAGGUUGUUCUUCCACUGGGUGUAUAUUACCCAUUUGAUGAUUAUCAACACUAGGUUGGUUUAGAUUUACUGGUUCGGAGAGUUUCUUUCUCUGUUUCCUUCGUUGCUUGUGAGGAGCUGAAUCCUGUUCCGUGGCCGUACUUCUACCCCUCUUCCUUUGAACAGGGGGUUGAGUAGUUUUGGUUGGUACCUCCACUCUUUCAGGCGCGUUUUUAGCAGGAUUGUAGGAUUUGGUAACACCUUUAUGUUGGGGAACGUAGCAGAAAUUCAAAAUUUUCCUACGUAUCACCAAGAUCUAUCUAUGGAGAAACCAGCAACGAGGGGAAGGAGAGUGCAUCUACAUACCCUUGUAGAUCGCUAAGCGGAAGCGUUCAAGUGAACGGGGUUGAAGGAGUCGUACUCGUCGUGAUCCAAAUCACCGGAGAUCCUAGUGCCGAACGGACGGCACCUCCGCGUUCAACACACGUACAGCCCGGUGACGUCUCCCACGCCUUGAUCCAGCAAGGAGAGAGGGAGAGGUUGAGGAAGACUCCAUCCAACAGCAGCACAACGGCGUGGUGGUGGUGGAGGAGCGUGGCAAUCCAGCAGGGCUUCGCCAAGCACCACGGGAGAGGAGGAGGAGGAGAGGCAGGGCUGCACUAAGAGGGAGAAGUUCUCAUGUGUUUAGCAGCCCCAAACCUCAACUAUAUAUAGGGGGAAGGGGGGGCUGCGCCCCCUUUAGGGUUUCCCACCCCAAGGGGUGCGGCCAAGGGGGGAGGAGUGCCUCCCAAGUCAAGUGGAGGCCUCCCCCUUUAGGGUUUCCCCCUUCCCAUGCGCAUGGGCCUUGGGGGGCUGGUUCCCUUGGCCCAUAAAGGCUAGGGCGCCCCCUUACAGCCCAUGCUACUGUAUUGGACGUGGUGGAACAAUUUCCGGACCUCCGGACCCCUCCGGAAUCCUCCGGAACCUUCUGGAAGCUUCCCGGUACAAUACCGAAAAAACCCGAACUUUUUCCAGAACCCGAACAACAACUUUCCAUAUAUAAAUCUUUACCUCCGGACCAUUCCGGAACUCCUCGUGACGUCCGGGAUCUCAUCUGGGACUCCGAACAACAUUCGGUAACCACAUACAAACUUCCUUUAUAACCCUAGCGUCAUCGAACCUUAAGUGUGUAGACCCUACGGGUUUGGGAGACAUGCAGACAUGACCGAGACGUUCUCCGGUCAAUAACCAACAGCGGGAUCUGGAUACCCAUGUUGGCUCCCACAUGUUCCACGAUGAUCUCAUCGGAUGAACCACGAUGUCAAGGACUCAAUCGAUCCCGUAUACAAUUCCCUUUGUCUAGCGGUAUUUUACUUGCCCGAGAUUCGAUCGUCGGUAUACCGAUACCUUGUUCAAUCUCGUUACCGACAAGUCUCUUUACUCGUUUCCGUAACACAUCAUCCCGUGAUCAACCCCUUGGUCACAUUGUGCACAUUAUGAUGAUGUCCUACCGAGUGGGCCCAGAGAUACCUCUCUGUUUACACGGAGUGACAAAUCCCAGUCUUGAUUCGUGCCAACCCAACAGACACUUUCGGAGAUACCUGUAAUGCACCUUUAUAGCCACACAGUUACGUUGUGACGUUUGGUACACCCAAAGCAUUCCUACGGUAUCCGGGAGUUGCACAAUCUCAUGGUCUAAGGAAAAGAUACUUGACAUUAGAAAAGCUUUAGCAUACGAACUACACGAUCUUUAUGCUAGGCUUAGGAUUGGGUCUUGUCCAUCACAUCAUUCUCCUAAUGAUGUGAUCCCGUCAUCAAUGACAUCCAAUGUCCAUGGUCAGGAAACCGUGACCAUCUAUUGAUUAACGAGCUAGUCAACUAGAGGCUCACUAGGGACAUGGUGUUGUCUAUGUAUCCACACAUGUAUCUGAGUUUCCUAUUAAUACAAUUAUAGCAUGUAUAAUAAAGGAUUAUCAUGAACAAGGAAAUAUAAUAAUAACACUUUUAUUAUUGCCUCUAGGGCAUAUUUCCAACAGUCUCCCACUUGCACUAGAGUCAAUAAUCUAGUUCACAUCGCCAUGUGAUUAACAUUCACAGGUCACAUCACCAUGUGACCAAGACUCAAUGAGUUCUGGGGUUUGAUCAUGUUCUGCUUGUGAGAGAGGUUUUAGUCAACGGGUCUGAACCUUUCAGAUCCGUGUGUGCUAUACAAAUCUCUAUGUCAUCUCCUAGAUGUAGCUACCACGUUCUAUUUGGAGCCAUUCCAAAUAACUGUUCCACUUGGAGCUAUUCUAAAUUGUUGCCCCAUUAUACGUAUCCGGUAUCUCUACUUAGAGCUAUCCGGAUAGGUGUUAAGCUUGCAUCGACGUAACCUUUACGACGAACUCUUUUACCACCUCCAUAAUCGAGAAAAUUCCUUAGUCCACUAGUUACUAAGGAUAACUUUGACCGCUGUCUGUGAUCCAUUCUUGGAUCACUCUUGUACCCCUUGACUAACUCAUGGCAAGGCACACUUCAGGUGCGGUACACAGCAUAGCAUACUGUAGAGCCUAUGUCUUAAGCAUAGGAGACGACCUUCGUCCUUUCUCUCUAUUCUGCCAUGGUCGAGCUUUAAGUCUUAACUUCGUACCUUACAACUCAGGCAAGAACUUCUUCUUUGACUGAUCCAUCUUGAACACCUUCAAGAUCAUGUCAAGGUAUGUGCUCAUUUGAAAGUACCAUUAAGCGUUUUGAUCCAUCCUCAUAGAUCUUGAUGCUCAAUGUUCAAGUAGCUUAUUCCAGAUUUUCUAAUGAAAAACACCUUUCAAAUAACCCUAUAUGCUUUCUAGAAAUUCUACAUCAUUUCUGAUCAUCAAUAUGUCAACAACAUAUACUCAUCAGAAAUUCUAUAGUGCUCCCACUCACUUCUUUGGAAAUACAAGUUUCUCAUAAACUUUGUAUAAACCCAAAAUCUUUGAUCAUCUUAUCAAAGUGCACAUUCCAACUCCGAGAUGCUUACUCCAGUCCUUAGAAGGAUUGCUGGAGCCAGCAUACCUUUUAGCAUCCUUAGGAUCGACAAAACUUUUCUGAUUGUAUCACAUACAACCUUUCCUUACAAAAACUGGUAAGGAAACUCGUUUUGACAUCCAUCUGCCAGAUUUCAUAAAUGCAGCUAAUGCUAACAUGAUUCUGACGGACUUAAGCAUCGCUACGGAUGAGAAAACCUCAUCGUAGUCAACUCCUUGAACUUGUGAAAAACUCUUCGCCACAAGUCGAGCUUCAUAGACGGUGACAUUACCGUCCACGUCCGUCUUCUUCUUAAAGAUUCAUUUAUCUCAAUGGCUUGCCGAUCAUCGGGCAAGUCCACCAAAGUCCAUGCUUUGUUCUGAUACAUGGAUCCGAUCUCGGAUUUCAUGGUUUCUAACCAUUUGUCGGAAUUUGGGCCCACCAUCGCUUCUCCAUAGCUCGUAGGUUCAUUGUUGUCUAGCAACAUGACCUUCAAGACAGGAUUACUGUACCACUCUGAAGUAGUACGUAUCCUUGUCACCCUACGAGGUACGGCAGUGACUUGAUCCGAAACUUCAUGAUCACUAUCAUAAGCUUCUACUUCAAUUGGUGUAGGUGCCACAUGAACAACUUCCUAUGCCCUGAUACACACUGGUUGAAGUGAUGGUUCAAUAACCAUACCAAGUCUCCACCAUCCUCCCACUCAACUCUUUCGAGAGAAACCUUUCCUCGAGAAAGGACCCGAUUCAAGAAACAAUCCAUAUUGCUUUCGGAUCUGAAUUAGGAGGUAUACCCAACUGUUUUGGGUGUCCUAUGAAGAUGUAUUUUAUCCGCUUUGGGUUCGAGCUUAUCAGUCCUGAAACUUUUUCACAUAAGCGUCGCAGCCCCAAACCUUUAAGAAACGACAACUUAGGUUUCUCUAAACCGGUGUCGUCUCAAUGGAAUUACGUGGUGCCUUAUUUAAAGUGAGUGUGGGUGUCUCUAAUGCCUAACCCAUGAACGAUAGUGGUAAUUCGAUAAGAGACAUCAUGGUACACACCAUAUCCAAUAGGGUGCAACUACGAUGUUCGGACACACCAUCAAACUAUGGUGUUCCAGGUGGUAUUAAUUGUGAAACAAUUUCCACAAUGUCUUAAUUGCGUGCCAAAACUCGUAACUCAGAUAUUCAUCUCUAUGAUCAUAUCCUAGACAUUUUAUCCUCUUGUCACAAUGAUCUUCUACUUCACUCUGAAAUUACUUGAACCAUUCAAUAAUUCAGACUUGUGUUUCAUCAAGAAAAUAUUCUCAACAUCUACUCGAAUCAUCUGUGAAGUAAGAACAUAACGAUAUUCACUGCAUGCCUCAGCACUCAUUGGACUGCACACAUCAAAAAUGUGUUGCUUCCAACAAGUUGCUAUCUUGUUCCAUUUUACUGAAACCGAGGUUUUUCAGUCAUCUUGCCUAUGUGGUAUGAUUUGCAUAUCUCAAGUGAUUCAAAAUCAAGUGACUCCAAACGAUCCAUCUGCAUGGAGUUUCUUCAUGCAUAUACACCAAUAGACAUGAUUCGCAUGUCUCAAACUUUUCAAAAACGAGUGAGUCCAAAGAUCCAUCAACAUGGAGCUUCUUCAUGCGUUUUAUACCAUUAUGACUUACAUGGUAGUGCCACAAGUAAGUGGUACUAUCAUUACUAUCUUAUAUCUUUUGGCAUGAAAAUGUGUAUCACUACAAUCGAGAUUCAAUAAACCAUUCAUUUUAGGUGCAAGACCAUUGAAGGUAUUAUUCAAAUAAAUAGAGUAACCAUUAUUCUCUUUAAAUGAAUAACCGUAUUGCGAUAGUCAUAAUCCAAUCAUGCCUAUGCUCAACGCAAACACCAAAUAACAAUUAUUUAGGUUUAACACCAAUCUCGUUGGUAGAGGGAGCGUGCGAUGCUUGAUCACAUCAAGCUUGGAAAAACUUCCAACACAUAUCGUCAGCUCACCUUUAGCUAGUCUCCGUUUAUUCCGUAGCUUUUAUUUCGAGUUACUAAUACUUAGCAACCGAACCGGUAUCUUAUAUCCUGGUGCUACUGGGAGUACUAGUAAAGUACACAUUAACAUAAUGUAUAUCCAAUAUACUUCUAUCGACCUUGCCAGCCUUCUAAUCUACCAAGUAUCUAGGGUAAUUCUGCUCUAGUGACUAUUCCCCUUAUCACAGAAGCACUUAGUCUCGGGUUUGGGUUCAACCUUGGGUUUCUUCACUAGAGCAGCAACUGAUUUGUCGUUUCAUGAAGUAUCCCUUCUUGCCCUUGCCCUUCUUGAAACUAGUGGUUUCACCAACCAUCAACAAUUUGAUGCUCCUUCUUGAUUUCUACUUUCGCGGUGUCAAACAUCGUGAAUACCUCAAGGAUUAUCAUAUCUAUCCCUGGUAUGUUAUAGUUCAUCACGAAGCUCUAGCAGCUUGGUGGCAAUGACUUUGGAGAAACAUCACUAUCUCAUCUGGAAGAUCAACUCCCACUCGAUUCAAGUGAUUGUCGCACUCAGACAAUCUGAGCACAAGCUCAACGAUUGAGCUUUUCUCCCUUAGUUUGCAGGCUAAGAAAAUCGUCGGAGGUCUCAUACCUCUUGACGUGGGCACGAGCCUGAAAUCCCAAUUUCAGCCCUUGAAACAUCUCAUAUGUUCCGCGAUGUUUCGAAAACGUCUUUAGUGCCUCAACUCUAAACCGUUCAACUGAACUAUCACGUAGUUAUCAAAACGUGUAUGUCCGAUGUUCACAACAUCCACAAACGACGUUUGGGGUUCAGCACACUGAGCAGUGCAUUAAGGACAUAAGCUUUCUACUGUCCGCAUAAUUGCUACUUUCAACUUUCAACUAUAUUUUCUCUAGGAACAUAUCUAAAACAGUAGAACUAAAGUGCGAGCUACGACAUAAUUUGCAAAAUCCUUUUGACUAUGUUCAGAUAAUUAAGUUCAUCUUAUGAACUCCCACUCAGAUAGACAUCCCUCUGGUCAUCUAAGUGAUUACAUGAUCCGAGUCAACUAGGUCGUGUCCGAUCAUCACGUGAGACGGACUAGUCAUCAUCGGUGAACAUCUUCAUGUUGAUCGUAUCUACUAUACGACUCAUGCUCGACCUUUCGGUCUCCGUGUUCCGAGGCCAUGUCUGUACAUGCUAGGCUCGUCAAGUUAACCCUAAGUGUUUUCGCUGUGUAAAACUGUCUUACACCCGUUGUAUGUGAACGUAAGAAUCCAUCACACCCGAUCAUCACGUGGUGCUUAGAAGCGACGAACUGUAGCAACGGUGCACAGUUAGGGGAGAACACUUCUUGAAAUUUUGUAAGGGGUCAUCUUAUUUACUAUCGUCGUCCUAAGUAAACAAGAUGCAUAAUCAUAAUAAACAUCACAUGCAAUUAUAUAGUUGUGACAUGAUAUGGCCAAUAUCAUAUAGCUCCAUUGAUCUCCAUCUUCGGGGCUCCAUGAUCAUCUUGUCACCGGCUUGACACCAUGAUCUCCAUCAUCGUGUCUUCAUGAAGUUGUCACGCCAACGACUACUUCUACUUCUAUGGCUAACGCGUUUAGCAAUAAAGUAAAGUAAGUUACAUGGCGUUAUUCAAUGACAUGCAGGUCAUACAAUAAAUUAAGACAACUCUUAUGGCUCCUGCCGGUUGUCAUACUCAUCGACAUGCAAAUCGUGAAUCCUAUUACAAGAACAUGAUCAAUCUCAUACAUCACAUAUCAUUCAUCCCAUUCUUCUUGGCCAUAUCACAUCACAUAGCAUACCCUGCAAAAACAAGUUAGACGUCCUCUAAUUGUUGUUUGCAUGUUUAACGUGGCUGCUAUGGGUUUCUAGCAAGAACGUUUCUUACCUACGCAAGACCACAACGUGAUAUGCCAAUUGCUAUUUACCCUUCAUAAGGACCCUUUUCAUCGAAUCCGUUCCGACUAAAGUGGGAGAGACUGGCACCCGCUAGCCACCUUAUGCACCAAGUGCAUGUCAGUCGGUGGAACCUGUCUCACGUAAGAGUACGUGUAAGGUCGGUCCGGGCCGCUUCAUCCCACAAUACCGUCGAAACAAUAUUGGACUAGUAACGGUAAGCAUAUUGAACAACAUCAACGCCCACAACUACUUUGUGUUCUACUCGUGCAAAGAAUCUACGCAAUAGACCUAGCUCUGAUACCACUGUUGGGGAACGUAGCAGAAAUUCAAAAUUUUCCUACGUAUCACCAAGAUCUAUCUAUGGAGAAACCAGCAACGAGGGGAAGGAGAGUGCAUCUACAUACCCUUGUAGAUCGCUAAGCGGAAGCGUUCAAGUGAACGGGGUUGAAGGAGUCGUACUCGUCGUGAUCCAAAUCACCGGAGAUCCUAGUGCCGAACGGACGGCACCUCCGCGUUCAACACACGUACAGCCCGGUGACGUCUCCCACGCCUUGAUCCAGCAAGGAGAGAGGGAGAGGUUGAGGAAGACUCCAUCCAACAGCAGCACAACGGCGUGGUGGUGGUGGAGGAGCGUGGCAAUCCAGCAGGGCUUCGCCAAGCACCACGGGAGAGGAGGAGGAGGAGAGGCAGGGCUGCACUAAGAGGGAGAAGUUCUCAUGUGUUUAGCAGCCCCAAACCUCAACUAUAUAUAGGGGGAAGGGGGGGCUGUGCCCCCUUUAGGGUUUCCCACCCCAAGGGGUGCGGCCAAGGGGGGAGGAGUGCCUCCCAAGUCAAGUGGAGGCCUCCCCCUUUAGGGUUUCCCCCUUCCCAUGCGCAUGGGCCUUGGGGGGCUGGUUCCCUUGGCCCAUAAAGGCUAGGGCGCCCCCUUACAGCCCAUGCUACUGUAUUGGAUGUGGUGGAACAAUUUCCGGACCUCCGGACCCCUCCGGAAUCAUCCGGAACCUUCUGGAAGCUUCCAAGUACAAUACCGAAAAAACCCGAACUUUUUCUGGAACCCGAACAACAACUUUCCAUAUAUAAAUCUUUACCUCCGGACCAUUCCGGAACUCCUUGUGACGUCCGGGAUCUCAUCCGGGACUCCGAACAACAUUCGGUAACCACAUACAAACUUCCUUUAUAACCCUAGCGUCAUCGAACCUUAAGUGUGUAGACCCUAUGGGUUCGGGAGACAUGCAGACAUGACCGAGACGUUCUCCGGUCAAUAACCAACAGCGGGAUCUGGAUACCCAUGUUGGCUCCCACAUGUUCCACGAUGAUCUCAUCGGAUGAACCACGAUGUCAAGGACUCAAUCGAUCCCGUAUACAAUUCCCUUUGUCUAGCGGUAUUUUACUUGCCCGAGAUUCGAUCAUCGGUAUACCGAUACCUUGUUCAAUCUCGUUACCGGCAAGUCUCUUUACUCGUUUCCGUAACACAUCAUCCCGUGAUCAACCCCUUGGUCACAUUGUGCACAUUAUGAUGAUGUCCUACCGAGUGGGCCCAGAGAUACCUCUCCGUUUACACGGAGUGACAAAUCCCAGUCUUGAUUCGUGCCAACCCAACAGACACUUUCGGAGAUACCUGUAAUGCACCUUUAUAGCCACCCAGUUACGUUGUGACGUUUGGUACACCCAAAGCAUUCCUACGGUAUCCGGGAGUUGCACAAUCUCAUGGUCUAAGGAAAAGAUACUUGACAUUAGAAAAGCUUUAGCAUACGAACUACACGAUCUUUGUGCUAGGCUUAGGAUUGGGUCUUGUCCAUCACAUCAUUCUCCUAAUGAUGUGAUCCCGCCAUCAAUGACAUCCAAUGUCCAUGGUCAGGAAACCGUGACCAUCUAUUGAUUAACGAGCUAGUCAACUAGAGGCUCACUAGGGACAUGGUGUUGUCUAUGUAUCCACACAUGUAUCUGAGUUUCCUAUUAAUACAAUUAUAGCAUGGAUAAUAAACGAUUAUCAUGAACAAGGAAAUAUGAUAAUAACACUUUUAUUAUUGCCUCUAGGGCAUAUUCCAACACUUUAUAGUCAGUAAAUGAAUCUGGCAGGUUAUUUGCAAUGUGUUGCAAAUUAAUUAUUUUCCGAACUUGAAGUUCAGUUUCUUGAGUACGUGGAUCGGAGGAGGAAAUGCCUUGGGCAUUCCAAUCGAUUUCCGAGCAUUCUUUUUCGUACUUGAUUGAAGGAAAUAUGCCCUAGAGGCAAUAAUAAAGUUAUUAUUUAUUUCCUUAUAUCAUGAUAAAUGUUUAUUAUUCAUGCUAGAAUUGUAUUAACCGGAAACAUAAUACAUGUGUGAAUACAUAGACAAACGGAGUGUCACUAGUAUGCCUCUACUUGACUAGCUCGUUAAUCAAAGAUGGUUAUGUUUCCUAACCAUGAACAAAGAGUUGUUAUUUGAUUAACGGGAUCACAUCAUUAGGUGAAUGAUCUGAUUGACAUGACCCAUUCCAUUAGCUUAGCACCCGAUCGUUUAGUAUGUUGCUAUUGCUUUCUUCAUAACUUAUACAUGUUCCUAUGACUAUGAGAUUAUGCAACUUCCGUUUGCCGGAGGAACACUUUGUGUGCUACCAAACGUCACAACGUAAAUGGGUGAUUAUAAAGGUACUCUACAGGUGUCUCCAAAGGUACAUGUUGGGUUGGCGUAUUUCGAGAUUAGGAUUUGUCACUCCGAUUGUCGGAGAGGUAUCUCUGGGCCCUCUCGGUAAUGCACAUCACAUAAGCCUUUCAAGCAUUGCAACUAAUGAGUUAGUUGCGAGAUGAUGUAUUACGGAACGAGUAAAGAGACUUGCUGGUAACGAGAUUGAACUAGGUAUUGAGAUACCGACGAUCGAAUCUCGGGCAAGUAACAUACCAAUGACAAAGGGAACAACAUAUGUUGUUAUGCGGUCUGACCGAUAAAGAUCUUCGUAGAAUAUGUAGGAGCCAAUAUGAGCAUCCAGGUUCUGCUAUUGGUUAUUGACCGGAGACGUGUCUCGGUCAUGUCUACAUUGUUCUCGAACCCGUAGGGUCCGCACGCUUAGUGUUUCGAUGACAGUUAUAUUAUGAGUUUAUGAGUUUUGAUGUACCGAAGUUAGUUCGGAGUCCCGGAUGUGAUCACGGACAUGACAAGGAGUCUCGAAAUGGUCGAGACAUAAAGAUUGAUAUAUUGGACGGCUAUAUUCGGACACCAGAAGUGUUCCGGGUGAUUUCAGAGAAAACCGGAGNNNNNNNNNNNNNNNNNNNNNNNNNNNNNNNNNNNNNNNNNNNNNNNNNNNNNNNNNNNNNNNNNNNNNNNNNNNNNNNNNNNNNNNNNNNNNNNNNNNNNNNNNNNNNNNNNNNNNNNNNNNNNNNNNNNNNNNNNNNNNNNNNNNNNNNNNNNNNNNNNNNNNNNNNNNNNNNNNNNNNNNNNNNNNNNNNNNNNNNNNNNNNNNNNNNNNNNNNNNNNNNNNNNNNNNNNNNNNNNNNNNNNNNNNAGAGAGGGGCAGCCAAAGGUGGGCCACGUGCCUCCUCCCCCUGGUCCGAAUUGGACUAGGAGAGGGGGGGGCGGCGCCCCCCUUUCCUUCUCCCUCCCCACUUCUUUCCCCCUCCUAGUAGGAGUCCUACUCUUACUAGGAGGAGGACUCCUCCUUGGCGCGCCAUAGGGGUCGGCCGGCCUCCUCCCCUUGAUCCUUUAUAUACGGGGACAGGGGGCACCCCUAGACAUAAGUUGAUCCACGUGAUCAUAUUCUUAGCCGUGUGUGGUGCCCCCUUUCACCAUAAUCCUCGAUAAUAUUGUAGCGGUGCUUAGGCGAAGCCCUGCGAUGAUAGUACAUCAAGAUCGUCACCACGCCGUCGUGCUGACGGAACUCUUCCCCGACACUUUGCUGGAUCGGAUUCCGGGGAUCGUCAUCGAGUUGAACGUGUGCUAAAACUCGGAGGUGCCGUAGUUUCGGUGCUUGAUCGGUCGGGCCGUGAAGACGUACGACUACAUCAACCGCGUUGUGCUAACGCUUCCGCUGUCGGUCUACAAGGGUACGUAGAUCACACUCUCCCCUCUCGUUGCUAUGCAUCACCAUGAUCUUGCGUGUGCGUAGGAAAUUUUUUGAAAUUACUACGUUCCCCAACAUUGAUGUCUCCCCCUAAUGUCGGGAAAUGGUCCUCAUUGAAGAUGCAGUCAGCGUGACGGGCUAUGAACAGAUCCCCGUGAGGGGUUCAAGGUACUUGAUUAUCGACGGUGAUUUGUACCCCACAUAGAUCCCCAAUUUUCUGUGUGGGCCCAUGGAUGUACGCUGCGGUGGUGAGAUUGGCACAUAUGUGGCGCAUCCGAAUUUACGCAGAUGGGAAAUAUUUGGUAGGUUUCCACGUACUAAUUGCAGAGGGGAAGUGUUGUGAUAUGCAGUUGGUCGCAAUUGGAUUAAGUCGGCAUCGUGUAAAACUGCGUGACCCCAACAAGAAGUUGGUAAAUUGCAAUUCAUUAGUAAGGGUCGUGCAAUGAGCUUAAUUCUCUUAAUUCGAGAUUCGGCCAAUCCAUUUUGAGUGUGGACAUAUGGGACCGAGUGCUGAAUUUCAAUGCCUAAUGCCAUGCAAUAAUCAUUGAAAGCAUGUGAAGAGAAUUCAGCAGCGUUGCCCAUUCGAAUUGAUUUAAUUCGAUUCUCAGGAUAAUGAGCUUGCAAUUUGAUAACUUGUCUCAUUAUUUUGGCAAAUGCAUGGUUUCGUGUAGAUAGUAAACACACAUGAGACCAUCGUGUAGAUGCAUCUAUUAGAACCAUGAAAUACCUAAAAGGUCCAGACAAUGGUUGGAUCGGACCACAAAUAUCACCUUGAAUUCGUUCAAGGAAUUGUAGUGGUUCUGCUUGAAUUUUAAGAUAUGAGGGUCUUAAAAUGAGUUUCCCAGUAGCACAUGCAGUGCACAUAAAAUCUGAAGAUUGUGGGAAUUUGGCUUCAUUUAAGUCAUGACCAUUGGAAUUGCGAAUAAUUUUCCUCAUCAUCCCUAUACCAGGAUGACCAAGGCGAUCAUGCCAAGUUUGGAAUGCAUUUACAUUCUGAAAAAUUGCCUUAUACGCAAUGUGUUCUACGGGUUUUAUGUACGUGUAGUAUAAUCCUGAUGAUAAAGAGGGAAUUUUCUCAAAUAUAUGUUUGCCAUAUCCGUUGUCUUUGGUAAAGAGGAGAUAUUCCUCUUUGUUAUCUUUAUAAGUUUCAAUGUGGAAAUCAUUUUUGCGGAUAUCUCUAUAACCUAUGAGGGUACGAGUUGAAUCGGGAUACAAUAAAGCAUCCUCACUUACAAUUUGUGUACCCAUAGGGAGGGUAAAUAUGGCACGUCCUUUGCCAACAAUUACCGCAUCGCGUCCAGCGAUUGUUAAAAUAUCUCCAUUCAAUUUUGUAAGAGUUUGGAAAUACUUUAUUUCCCUAAGUAUAGAGUUUGUGGUGCCACUGUCCACAAGGAACAUUUCUUCCUCCAUUGGAUUGACUCCCGUAGAAAUCUAUAUAUUAAAAAUGUGGAAUUUUCAGUUUAAUGAAAAACACUUUAUUGGAUAUAUAGAAUACAUACAAAUUUUAUUGAUAUCAAAGUGCUGAUACAAUAUAUAUUGUGUUUUUACAAUAUAGAAUGAUGACAAUAACAAUAAUAAUAUGUUUUUAUUACAACAAUCUGAUGGAUGUAAACAAAUAAAAUAUCUAAAUGGAGUCAAUUGACUAGUCAAAGUCCCCGAACAUGUCGGCGGCGUAUUCGGUCAUCAUAUUCUCCGUGUCCAUGGAGUCCUGUGAUAUAUGGAAUUCCUUGUUGUUACUUGGUGCUCCUCGAACAUCUUGCGAACAACCAGCUUCCUAGUUGUUAUCAGGUUGAAGAUUGAAGUGAGCUUCAUAUCUUUCUCCUUGGGCUGGUCUGUUACGUCCCAUGGAUUGCAGGUAGAGGUUUACUAGAUGUCUUGGGGUGCGGCAUUUUUUGGUGACAUGCUUGUAGCAUCCACAUUUCUGGCAAAGUUUAGUUUUAUCAAACUUAUUCUUUGUUAUGCCCUUCCCCUUGUCUGAAUUUUGUGGCUUGUUCUUCUUGUUGUGGUUGCUCUUACCCUUGAAGUUCUUGUUUUGGCCUUUGAAAGAACCAUUGAACUUGGUAUUUUUCUGAAAAUUUGCAUGUACUUUAGGCAGAGGAGCCGCCCCAACUGGGCGUUGAUUACUAUUCUUUAGCAGAAGUUCAUCGUGUUUCUCAGCCUGGAGGAGCACAUGUAUAAGUUCAGAGUAAACUAUAUAAUUGCGGACACGAUAUUGUUGCUGUAGGAUCCUGUCGGCUGGGAGCAUAGUGGAUAGAGUCUUUUCUAUCUUAUCUGCUUCUGUAGGCUCCUUCUCGCAAAACCGCAACUUUGAGCAAAUUUUAUGAACCUCAUGAUUAUAAGCUCCGAUCGAUUUGAAAUCUUGGAGUCUUAAAUGGGUCCACUCAUGACUAGCUUCAGGAAGUAUAACUGCCUUUUGCUGUUCAUAUCUAGUCUUAAGUGAUUGCCACAUAUUGCUUGGAGAUUCCUCCAUCAAAUAUUUAGAUUUCGGAUCUGGAUGGAUAUGGUGCCUUAUUAUGUAUAAAGCAGCAUAUUAUUGUUGUUCGUUUAAUUGUGCAAUUCCCUCUUGGGGAGGGUCUGCAGGAGGUAUGAGUGCAGCUACAAUUCCACGGGAUGAAAGACUGAUUUUAACAUCCAUAGCCCAUGUAGGAUAGUUGUGUCCGUCGAGCGCAAGCUCUUCAAAUUCUUUGACGGUCAUUUUGUCCUACAAGAUUGAGAACCAGAUAAUCGAUCAAUUCACUUGUAUGUAAAUUAAAAUCAUCAUGGUCAUGUUGUAAUAAAUUUUGCAAUUGUUGUGAAUUCAAGUAAAGACUUGAACUUUGUUUAAAUUAUAUUCGAAUUAAGUCUAUUUUUGUGCUACAUAGGCAUUUUUGGACUUAAUUAAUGGCGAAUUAAUAUUUGAGUUGCAAGAAUAAAUGAUUUUCAAUUGCAAAAUAAUAUUAUUGUACCAUUUGUACAUGUUAUAGGGAUUUCAAAUUGCAAACACAUUGAACAUAUAACGAUUUACAGAAAUAAUAUGGUCUAAACAUCAAUACACAAUUUAAUUGAGUACAAUAUAUAAUCACAUCAAGAUACAAGGUCUAAAACAUGACAAGUACUUAAUUACAUCACUAGUAGUUGAACCUAUCUGCGAAUUCCCAAAUUUACGGGGCUAAAACAUGACAAGCACUAAAUUAAUACUAGUAGUUGGACUAAUGCACGAAAUCCCGAUAAUAUAAGGAUUUUUUUGCAAUCUAGCCUAUAACCCGUUGGGUUUUUUUUCUGGUCGUUGCAACAUGGGCCACAGCCCACGAGGCCUUUCGGCUGAGGCCCAUGGCAGCGCCGCUGAUGGAGACAUCGAGCGGAUAAGGGGGACGGGAGGUGGGGCGGUUGGGGUCAAUUCCCCCCAUUCCACCGCCACCUCCACGGGAUCCCGUCGGCCGCCGCCAAUGGCGCCCAGCGCCGGCGAUCUUCAGGAGGAGGCCCCCCCCCCCCCGCAGCGUAGCCGGGGAGGUGGAGGCCUGCAGGGGCCCAGAAGUCGGAGCGGAGGCCGGGGCGGUGCUGCUCCAGCGCUGCCGCGAAACGGCGAAGGAUCCGGCGAGCCGCCGGUGGGGGCGUUCGCGGGCUUGCCGGGGGCGGAGGCGGCGGAGAUGUUGGGGCCUUGGAAGACGACGCCGCUUCCUCGAUCUUCCUGCCGGUGGCAGUGUUGAGGUCGGGGAUGGUGGCUCCGGGUUCGUCGGUCUCCGCCGGCGUGGUUGACUCCGGCUUCACAACGGAGUUGAGCCACUGCUCCUCCUCUUCGUUCGGUGUCACCUCCCACUCCAUCAUGGUGGGCACAGGGCCAUAGCCUGGAGGGGCGAAGUGCUCCUCGUCUUCGUCGGCGGGCGUUGGCGUUGGGAGGUCCGGGUAGGCGAGCGGCUCAUCGAUGACCUCCGGUUCCGGUGGUGGAGUGGCCGGCGGUGAAGGGCAUGGCCCGUACCCGUGCACGGGGCAGAAAUCGCGGGCAGGGCAAGGGCCGUAUCCGUGCACCGGACAAAAGGCCACGCCUGCAUCCAUGCCAUUGCCGAAUAAGACCCCCGGCGGUGGCGGGGCCUGGGCGGCGUCGAAGAACUCCUCGCCCAGGAACGGGGCUGCAGCCUCGGCGGGAGCCCAGUCCAUUGGCGGAGCGACGAAGGCCGGCAUCGGGGGUGCCUGGUAGGCGUGGUGGACGGCGGCAGAUGAGUUGCUUGGUCCUGCCUGUUCUGCGGCGGCGGGGCCAGGGUGCUCCUGACGACCACGGCGACCACGACGACCGUUGCCUGGGCCCCAAUGGCGAGGAGCACCAGCACUGUGGCGUCUGGUAGAUCGACGGAUCUCCCGUCCAAUGAAUCGAAUAAGGGCAGAGGUGAUUCUAUGCAGGUUCAUCCCUGCCAUCUUACCUUCUCGUCUCUUCUUGUUCGUGCUCUGUUGGUCGAGGCUAGCGUGGCUGAUAACGUGUAAAGAUUUGAUGAAAAACUUGUAUUUUAUUGAUUCUAGGCAAAGCCCUAUUUAUACAAGAAUUUGGGGCGCCUCCGGAGAGGCGUCCAUUUACAACACGCGCCCGUGGCACGAGAAGACGCUCCAUACGGCGCUUUGGACACACGUGACGACUCUUAGUGCUAAUGACGUCGCUUUAUUCUUAACACAAGUAACAUCCCAUAAGGCCAUAAUAGUCAGGCACGGGAACACGGAAAACUGCACGAUCAAAAGGACACCCGUGGAGCAGGGAGAAGCACAGCGGUCGUUUGUGAAGAUGGGUUGAAGAGGGCUAAGGAUGUCACUGACGCGAGCGAGUGAUUCUCGUGGGUAUUGCAUGGCCCAUGGGAGCCAAUUUCAUGGAUCAAAGUAGAUCUUAUGCGCCACCCAUUUAGCAAAGCCACAAUCAAAAUAGCAAGCAAACUGCAGGUUAGUUGACACAGAAGCUACAACAGCGUGUCAAGUUUUUUUGACACAUGAUUGAAACAAGCAACAACAAGACGCAAAAGUAAAUCCAUAGCAAACGAAGUGUAAUAAUAGAUGGCAACCACUUGAUUCAAAGCCGGGAAAGGGUCAUUUUCUAAACAUGCAACACAAUAUCUCUCAAAAUCUAUAAAUCCACAAGAUCUGACUUAACAUCAUAAACGGAGUAGUACAGAACAAGUUGCAAGACACAGGAUAUCGAUAGCUUGGUAUUGUUCCAUCCUUGAACGAGCAUGGAAUUACAGCCUCCUUCCUCUUCUACCACCCUUCCGGCGGGUGCUGUCAGUUGGGACCGGGGUAACAUCCUCUGCUCAACACAAAAAGAACAUCAUGGAUUAAUCCGCUGUAUGACAUCAUAAACUAAAGUGGAAAAUAAAACAUCCUCUGCUCAACACAAAAUAAACAUCAUGGAUAUCUGUCAGGACCCUGCCUGAAGAUAACAACAGCGGCAGCUUCUUCAGUUAACUCAGCGUAACGCUUCAUGAGGAUGAUUCAAACUGGACCAACCAAUCGCCAUCCAGUGCACCCAAACCCUCGUACCGCUUCGCGCACUGGCGGGAUGAUCUGGAGCGUGGAUUGUUGAUCGGACGGUGGCCGCUACUUCAGCUGUCACUGUUACCUUUCCGGCAACUCCACUUACUCUGUUAUUUCCUCUGUUUACUUUUACUCAUGUAAUGGCUAUAAAGCCAGGAUCGAGAGGCUGGGAGAGGCAUCGAGUAAUUGUAUUAGGGUUUCCCCCUAGCCGCCGUGUUCCGGCUGGCAAAUCUGUUCCUCUUGCUGUAAGAAACCCUAAGUUAAUACCACCCAAUUUCACCCCCCUGUUCUUGAUGUUUUCUGAAAUUGCGAGUAGCUAGAGUCCCCCCAUAGCUCGGGCCUUACAAUAUCAUAAACUAAACUGGAAAAUGUAAGGUUCAAAUCACGGUAACUGGCAUCCAAGGCAAAAUUAAUCAACAUUGAUCAUAACAUAAACAUAGUAUGCAGAAAGGACAAGCAAAACAUCAGUCCAUAUCAAAACCAAGCCAGCCAUGUGACCAGACGAUUUCAAGAACUAUUGACUGCCAGACAAAAUAAGAAGACAAGCCUUGCAACUGCAAUGUAUGGCAGAAUAGUUUUUUCCCAGAAGCAAAUGAGAUGAAAUGACACGGCACAGCAUACACAAGGGCACCACAGGCUUACC
Molecule: long non-coding RNA, 21777 nt
Filed under: Triticum aestivum (bread wheat)
Lineage: Eukaryota; Viridiplantae; Streptophyta; Magnoliopsida; Poales; Poaceae
Description: long non-coding RNA (TAES_LNC020926)
Source: RNAcentral